GCAUAUCAAUAAGCGGAGGAAAAGAAACCAACAGGGAUUGCCUCAGUAACGGCGAAGUGAAGCGGCAACAGCUCAAAUUUGAAAUCUGGCCCUAGGCCCGAGUUGUAAUUUGCAGAGGAUGCUUUUGGCAAGGUGCCUUCCGAGUUCCCUGGAACGGGACGCCAUAGAGGGUGAGAGCCCCGUCUGGUCGGACACCGAGCCUCUGUAAAGCUCCUUCGACGAGUCGAGUAGUUUGGGAAUGCUGCUCAAAAUGGGAGGUAUAUGUCUUCUAAAGCUAAAUACCGGCCAGAGACCGAUAGCGCACAAGUAGAGUGAUCGAAAGAUGAAAAGCACUUUGAAAAGAGAGUUAAAUAGCACGUGAAAUUGUUGAAAGGGGAAGCGUUUAUGACCAGACUUGGCCCGGUUGAUCAUCCAGCCUUCUGGCUGGUGCACUCUGCCGGUCCAGGCCAGCAUCAGUUCGUCGCGGGGGAUAAAGGUUUCGGGAAUGUAUCUCCUCCGGGAGUGUUAUAGCCCGUUGCGUAAUACCCUGCGGUGGACUGAGGUCCGCGCUCUGCAAGGAUGCUGGCGUAAUGGUCAUCAACGACCCGUCUUGAAACACGGACCAAGGAGUCGUCUUCGUAUGCGAGUGUUCGGGUGUAAAACCCCUACGCGUAAUGAAAGUGAACGCAGGUGAGAGCUUCGGCGCAUCAUCGACCGAUCCUGAUGUUCUCGGAUGGAUUUGAGUAAGAGCAUACGGGGCCGGACCCGAAAGAAGGUGAACUAUGCCUGUAUAGGGUGAAGCCAGAGGAAACUCUGGUGGAGGCUCGCAGCGGUUCUGACGUGCAAAUCGAUCGUCAAAUAUGGGCAUGGGGGCGAAAGACUAAUCGAACCUUCUAGUAGCUGGUUUCUGCCGAAG
Molecule: ribosomal RNA, 895 nt
Filed under: Albifimbria verrucaria
Lineage: Eukaryota; Fungi; Ascomycota; Sordariomycetes; Hypocreales; Stachybotryaceae
Description: LSU rRNA
Rfam family: Eukaryotic large subunit ribosomal RNA
Source: RNAcentral